GACAGAGGUCCCGAGCGUUAGGCGGAAUCACUGGGCUUAAAGCGUGUGUAGGCGGAUCGUUAAGUGCCUUGUGAAAUCCCACGGCUUAACCGUGGAACUGCUUGGCAUACUGGCGGUCUUGAGCCACCUAGGGGCAACCGGAACAAACGGUGGAGCGGUGAAAUGCGUAGAUAUCGUUUGGAACGCCAAUGGUGAAAACAGGUUGCUGGGGGUGUGCUGACGCUGAGACACGAAAGCCAGGGGAGCGAACGGG
RNAcentral lists this ribosomal RNA (253 nucleotides) under uncultured bacterium. RNAcentral describes it as "partial 16S ribosomal RNA". It matches the Rfam family "Bacterial small subunit ribosomal RNA", at positions 524 to 776 of the family's 1533-position model. The record is from RNAcentral.